CCAAAAAAAGGAACUGAAAGAUAUCGAUGGUGAUUCCAGGAAAAGUUCAAACGAGUCUCCACCGAUUGUCAAAUCAGAAGUUGUCACCAAUGAGGGGCCUUCUGCUGAUGGGGGAGAAAACGAACUAAACUUCUCUGACAUACAAAAUUCAACACGAAUAAAACGCACAUCUUACACGGAUGAAGACUCAGAAUUGAUGGGAAAAAGCCAGAAGGAUACGGAUAUGAACGGAUCAGCACAACAGGUCGAUUUUGGAGCUAUUCAUCAAGCAGAUGUGAUUAAUGACCAUUCUGAGAAACUGGCGUUUCCACAGUAUGAUGGAGUGCAUCAAGAGGUUGACGGGCACCUUGAGAGGCCAUAUGAGAUGUUCCGACAUCAGACUUACACUGAUCAAGAACAACAGCCACUGGAUGAACAAAAUGCCCGUCAAUAUGAAAAUCAGCCUCAACAUAGGUAUGAGGAGCAACCUCAACUUCCAUACGAGGAACAUCAACCUCAAGAUAGGGUACAGAAACAGACGUAUGCGGAGAAUCCUGAAUAUGAAAAUCAGUCUCAACAAAGGUAUGAGGAGCAACCGCAACUUUCUUACAAGGAACAUCAACGGCAAAAGAGGGCACAGAAACAGAAAUAUGAGGAGGACCCUGAAUAUGAAAAUCAGCCUCAACAAAGGUAUGAGGAGCAACAACAUUCAUAUGAAGGACUAAAACAGCAAAGUAAGGUUCCGAAACAACAGGUGUACGAAGAGAACCCCCCGCAACCAUUUGAGGUGCAAGAGCAACCACCAUACGAGAGUCAGGGGCAGCCACUGUAUGAUGAGCACUUACAACAACAGUACCUGGAGCAACAAGAACCCUAUAACGAAAUUGUGUAUGAUGGGUCAAGCACUCAAUACAGAGAUGAGUCUCACUAUGUUGAACAAAAUGAGAACUAUCCCCAGGAUCCAAACCAGUAUCCUAAGUUUGAAAAUUCGCGAGAGGAUGUUUAUGACGAAACUCAAAUUUACGAACAUUCUCAUGCACAAGAUGAAUUUAGGCAGUAUGAUGGACACGGGUCUCAGGAACUUCUUGCUCCAGAGCCUAUUUACGGUCAAGAUGGGAGGGUGGAAUAUUCAAGCUAUCAAAAUGAGUAUCCAGUGAACAAUGAGAAUUACGGAACUACACAACAGCUAGAGGAGUAUGCGCCUGGUACUGAAGGCGAAGAUUAUAGUCAAAGAAUUCCGGAGGAAUAUGGCAGAGGUUAUGAGAAUCAACACAUAACUUCUGGAGAAUAUGAGCAACCAAGAAACAUGUACGGCGAAGCAAAUGAUCCGAGCCCAUACGUCCACCACGCAGAAGAAUAUGGUCAAGACGGCUAUCAAGACCAAGAGUAUCGAACCAAUCAAGGUGAUCUCUUCGAACCGGAAGCUGAGUAUCCUACUCCCGAAUAUCAUCAGGAUCUUCAUUAUUCAGAUGAGCCACAAAAAUAUACUGAUGGUGUGCCAGAACAGUAUCAACGAGAAGAAUUGACUCAUAACACGCAUCCUUACUCACAGGAUGCACGUCGCACAGAUUACUCAUCUCAACAAGAAGUGUCUCGACAAGGAAACACACAAUAUGAAGAAAUGAAAGUCUCAAGAGCACAAGUGGAUGCAUACCAAGAGCCCCACCGCAAGACUACUAAAGAGUAACACCAGUUAACUUACUUCCAGGCAUUGACCCUACUACUACGGAAGAAUAAAUACUUGAAUCAGUAUAUUUACAUUCAAAGAGUAGAUGCUUGUCUUUCUUGUUUUUCCCGGUUACCAAGCCCCCUAUAACUCUCAUCACUUACGAUUUUUGAACAAAACAUUUACCACAAAGGUAUAAUCCUAAUUAAUAAGCCAUGAUGGACUCAAGACAUCUUGUUUAAUUUGUGAAUCCCAUUUUACAUUUGAAGAGGAAAAGUUAAUUUAUUACCGGAUACAUUUCUCAUCAUUUUUUACUUCCUUAAAAGUGGCAAAUUUUCCUAUUAUAGCUCGCAAGCAAAAUUGACCAAGACCAAAGUUUGAUCUCUCAGAGAUUUCUGGGACUCAUGCAUGAUUUCAAACUGAGAUUUGCACAUUAUUGAGCCUACAUACUCAAUCAUGGAGGCUUUAGAGUCAUUCAUAUUUAAGAAUGCUUGAAGUUGAUGAAGAUGGAACAGAUUUAAAAGACCUUUCAGUAACUACUAUUGAUCCUUCCUUCUAGAACACUUAUCCUUGUAGGAAAUAAUAGGAAAAAGCUAAAGAUCAAUUCAAGGCUAAAGUCAUUGAAAAAAAAGAAAAAAAUGCAGGAUGUUUCGGAACUUACGCUACAAUUCAUUAUCAACAGCAAACACAAGAGGAAAAUACUCAUAUGCCUAAGGUGUGCCUACUCACUAAAAUUACUCAUCUCUUUCCCUUCAGAGAGCGUGAAUAAAAAACCAGAGGGGUUCCAAAGGACCCUGAAUGAAUGGCCCUCAUAGUAUUGAAAAAAAAGCUGAUUUUGGCGCACCUUUUCAACUUCAAGUGUACUUGCCCAGAGUCUUAAAAUUUAGAGCAUGACAUGGAAGAGCAGAAAAAACUAUAAUGAUGUGAGUUAGUUGGAAUCAGUUACUUUUUAAUUAUUUACCCAGUGGAAGAGUAGGCAUUACAUGGGUGAAGAAGGUAAAUGUAAAUUAUGAAAAUGCUCUCACAAUAACGCCAAUUUACAAAGAGAAUACUUACAUGAAAUUAUUACAUGAAGUGUUUGGUUGAAUACUUGUACAAGCGGCUAAGUAUGAGAUCUGAAUUUAAUAAUAGUAAGCAUUUUCAAGUGACACAAAAAAGUUUAAAAAGCUACAAAAAGAGAGUAUGUACAAUGGAAUGGAAACAAAAAUAACUUGCAUGUACUUUGGCAAAAGAGAAAAAAAUAUAAUGAGAAUACAUUAAUUAUUUACCUACUGAUCAAGGUGAAUACAGUUUGGUCAAAUGAUGGAUUAAUUUUAUAAGGAAUAAAGAACACCGAGUUCAUUGGAUUAAUCUUAACCAGUAAUAACGCAGUUUUGCCGAGAAAAUAUUUUAUCAAAUUUUUUCAAAGUCAUAAUAAAAGUAUUCAAACAAAAUUACUAAAAUUGAUGUUUUUUUUUUAACAAUUGCUUUAGGGAGAAAAAACUUUCAUCACUUGAACCAACAAAGUCUAAUUAAUAAUAAAAAACAAAUUUCUAUAGCACAUUGCUAAUUUAGCCCUUCCAAGGAAUCUUUGUUUUCCGGAAAUUCAACGAAGACUAAGCAUUAUAUAUGUGCAGAACUAAUAACCUGUUCAAAUACUAUGGGUGAUAAAGUGUUGAUUUUUUUAUUCGACAAUACAUCAGAGUGAAUCAAUUCAAAACAGGACUUUUGACAAAAUUAGCCCCUGACACGUGAAACAUUGAAUGAAGAAUUGAAAAAAAAAAUAGAAUUAAACCUUUCUUAAUUGAGCUGCAUUUAAUAAGGAGAGGGAAUUCAAAGCAGCAUCGAAGAUCAAUUACAUUUUUGUUGCUAUUGACAGUAUGCUUUUCUAAUGUGCAAGUCUGAUUGCACUAACUGUUUUGAGUGUAUAAGCAAUUUACUAUGCACACUGCUGAUAAUUGUAUAUUGACAGAGAGACUACCAAAUGACGUAUCUUGUUUGCGGUGUUUAAAAAUCUCCACUCCAAUUUUAUUUUUUUGAAGGAGAACAAAUCAAUAUCAUUACUUGAAAUUUUCACAUUUUUUUUGAAAUUCUUUGAGAAGAAAAAACACAGAAGUUUUCAAGGAUUGACGUUGAGUAGUUUUCCAUUUAAAAAAUAAAGUCUCGACGUUGCAAACCGAAAUACUUGGUCUGGUAGUACUUUUUUUCAUUUCAUAGCUCACGUGAACUAUUGCCUAAUGAGUAGUAAAAUCCGAUUUUUAAUCUAACAGACCUUGUACUGUCACACACAAAAUAGGGAUUCCUGAUAUGAAGCAGUGUUUAAAAGUCAGAGAGGCACCUUUUCUACAGCAUUUUUUAAAAAAAAAAAUGACAAAAUGAAAAAAGAACUAAGACCUAAACUUAGGAAAAUAAUGAGCUGACCUAAAAAGAAAAAAGGAAAAAAAUUGAAUGACUUUUCAUAAUACUGGUCUCUAUUAAGAAGCCAAUUCAUUCAAUUUUCAAAAUACAUAGAAGAGAGAGAGGAAGGCACGAUUUUAUUAAAGAUUAAACUUUCUCUCAUGGUAAACUUAAAUUAAGACUUCGAUCAAGCUUUGACCAAAUCUUCUGAAUAUAAGGCAACAAAGAAAGGCACGAUUUUAUUCAAGAUUAAAAUUCCUCUUGCAGCACAUUAAACUCGACCUUCUUAUUAAUAUCGCCGUCAAAAAAUAAGCAAUGAGUGAAAUGUUCUGAUUUACAGCCAAUUGGGUAUCCAAACUCCCUUGCACCAACAAAUAAAACCAUGAGAAUGGUUAAAAUAAAAAAUGGGUAACAAGAAAAUUUUUGAGAUCAUACCUUUGGUGAUAGUGGUCUAGACAUGGGUCAAAUCUCUGAUGAACUCGUUAAUUACAUCUUUAAUAGCAUGUUCCUCUUUGUUAUUAGAGCCUGGUGAGUUCUGUUGGCUUGAGAGAUAGUUAGAAGCUAUUCCUUUGACUUUCAGCACAACCUCAACUUUUUGCUGAACAGACUGUGAAUAUAAAAUUAAGUUAAAAUUGGAUUCAACUUGACAAAAAUAUUAUGAAAAGAAUAUUGAUAAAAAUUUCAGGAGUCAGUCUAGUAGAUAAAAAACAAGCUACCUGCGUGAAUUAAAAAAUUUAAAUUACCCUUCCUAGUGCUUUCCUUCUUGGAAUUAAUGCUUCUUUUGCUUACUAGUUUUGAAACUACAGUAAGCUCUUUUCGCCAUUUUUUGACAAUUUUUUGUCCAUCUGCUAAUACUACAAAAAUCCGGGUUUAAAAAAUUUGUCAGGAUAUUUUUGGCCACAUUAUGAUCAAAAUCUAGUGGGACACUACGUGAUCUCCCUUUGUCUGUCUCAAAUGAUACUCUAAUUUUUUUUAAAAAAAGAACAUUCAUCACCAGAAGGAGAUUUUUAUCAGCUAUUUUACAGGAUUUCACCAUUUUUUUACUGAUGUAUUUGGAUUGGACUGGCCAGUUUUUCAUAAGUCAAAAUGACUAUGGUAAGAGAGUUUUUCAAGGUUGCCUUGCAAGGAGAGAGAGGGGUCAAAAAGUUGGCCGAGUAAAUUAUGCUUGAGAGCUAAUCAAUCAAUCAACAUUACCUUUGGGUUUAUGAUUUUCACUACUUCUGCUGACCAAAUGAAUCUUCCUGCUAGUUUGACGAAAAGCUGCCGACCCAUUGGAUGCCAUUCUCCACCUUCAGCUGGUUUCAAGCUUAGCUGAGCAUGAAUUCCCUGUGCGGGCAUUUUGGCAAAAUUUGUGUGCAAUAACCUCAACUCGGAACACUGCACCUUGCCGGUGAGUCCAUAAUCAAUUGAAAAAACCUGCAAACAGAGAGCUGGGUAUCAUGUCUUAUUCUUGUGCUGAUUAAACACCAAAUUACGAUCUGUUCAUUUAACUAAAAGAAAUAAUUAUUUCAGCACACUGUUGCCACAGUUAAGCCAUUAUUUUAAUUUCAAUGAUUAUCAAAAAUUUUGUUGACACUUGACAAAACGUUUCUUCACCAUAUUGUCUCAUAGUUGGCUAAAGCACAGGUAUCAAAGAAAAGCUAGAUAUAAAAGUUAAAAGUUAGAGAAUUGCACCGUGUAUCUGGCAGGACAUCUUGGUAAGGACCAAGUUCAGUUGAUCUGCAUAUGCACUGAAUACAGUUUACAAUGAUAACAUGAUAACAUGGUGGUUUAUGUUAGAUGCACCUGUGGUCAGGUAGCAAUUAUUUUAGACUCGUGGUCAGCACUUUGGAAAAGUUUCACUCCAUCUUUUUUUAUAGAGAGCAUUGUAGCAAGAGCAGUCAACCUCUCAGAACCCCCCCCCCCAAAAAAAAAAUAAAUAAAUAAAUAAAAAAAUAAAGUGUUUUCCAGUGGCACAUUGAUCUGUUCCAAGUGCUAAAAGUAAGUCUGUUCAGAAAUGAUCAAAAUGUGUAAAAUGUAUUUGUAAUUCCUUCAAAAUAUCUUUUCCUGUCAGGUAUACAGUUGAAUUGUGUGAAAUUUCAGGUGUUAAAAUUCUUACAGCCUCUUUCAAAUUUCAGGGUCGGGUGAAAUUCCCUGUCUGUUUCAGGUUUUCCUUAUCUUUUAUAGAACUUUUCAUCCAGUCGUUAGGUGCUUAUAAGAACUUCAUGAGAACUACUAUGUGGUUGGUUCCUUCCUCUGAAUGAUUUUACCCAUCAAAAAUCGGAGAGAGGAUCAAUUGGAUUGAAUUUUGCAAAAAGGAACCACUAGCAUUGCAAUGUUGCUAAGAUUGUGCAACUUCUUUUGUCUUGGAGGAAAAACCCGAUUAUCCAUUAAUAGUUUCUAUUUUACUUGCUAAAAACUGUAAAUUUAAGA
This 6433-nucleotide long non-coding RNA is filed under the name Bemisia tabaci. Its description in RNAcentral is "lncRNA ENSASIAIIG002615". Lineage: Eukaryota; Metazoa; Arthropoda; Insecta; Hemiptera; Aleyrodidae. The record is from RNAcentral.